GUAGCCAUGUCUUUGCCAGGCAGAAGGCGCAUGUGUUCCUGAACGGCGUCGGUCAACUAUAGGGAUUCACCUGUAGGUAUCCUUACUCAGAGGGGGGUACAGAGAACAAACGUGGACUGUGUUCUUCUAAGGAGAGAACUCUGAGUGAUUUGGUCAGGGGACAUGUGGGUUAGUGAGAACGGCAGAGGGCCUGAGUUCUGCUUGGGGAACCGACUGGACAGAAGGCAGCGGAACCCUCCACUCAGGAAUCUCCACCGGCCCAGAUGUCCCAUCAACGCCGCCAGCUGGCCGCGUGGCUCUGGCUCAGUCCUCCGCCAGGAGAAGGCACCUUGUUAUCUGUCCUUUGUCAGUAAGGCCAUCCUGUGGGACCGGGCAUUCAACCAGUGGACAGGCUUGCAUCUCCAUCGGGGAGCUGUUGACCACAAACAGGCCUGUAAUGAUAUUAGGCAGGACUGGCUCUGGG
This is a long non-coding RNA of Esox lucius (northern pike), 463 nucleotides long. NCBI's taxonomy places the organism in Eukaryota, Metazoa, Chordata, Actinopteri, Esociformes, Esocidae. The record is from Ensembl.